AUUGAACGCUGGCGGCAGGCUUAACACAUGCAAGUCGAGCGGGGUGAUGGUGCUUGCACUAUCACUUAGCGGCGGACGGGUGAGUAAUGCUUAGGAAUCUGCCUAUUAGUGGGGGACAACAUCUCGAAAGGGAUGCUAAUACCGCAUACGUCCUACGGGAGAAAGCAGGGGAUCACUUGUGACCUUGCGCUAAUAGAUGAGCCUAAGUCGGAUUAGCUAGUUGGUGGGGUAAGGGCCUACCAAGGCGACGAUCUGUAGCGGGUCUGAGAGGAUGAACCGCCACACUGGGACUGAGACACGGCCCAGACUCCUACGGGAGGCAGCAGUGGGGAAUAUUGGACAAUGGGGGGAACCCUGAUCCAGCCAUGCCGCGUGUGUGAAGAAGGCCUUAUGGUUGUAAAGCACUUUAAGCGAGGAGGAGGGUCUUUUGGUUAAUACCCAAGAUGAGUGGACGUUACUCGCAGAAUAAGCACCGGCUAACUCUGUGCCAGCCGCCGCCGUAA
This 503-nucleotide ribosomal RNA is filed under the name uncultured bacterium. Its description in RNAcentral is "partial 16S ribosomal RNA". It matches the Rfam family "Bacterial small subunit ribosomal RNA", at positions 30 to 523 of the family's 1533-position model. The record is from RNAcentral.